Unclassified non-coding RNA from Pongo abelii (Sumatran orangutan), 148 nucleotides. It matches the Rfam family "Metazoan signal recognition particle RNA". From Rfam's summary of the family: The signal recognition particle (SRP) is a universally conserved ribonucleoprotein. It is involved in the co-translational targeting of proteins to membranes. The eukaryotic SRP consists of a 300-nucleotide 7S RNA and six proteins: SRPs 72, 68, 54, 19, 14, and 9. The record is from Ensembl. NCBI's taxonomy places the organism in Eukaryota, Metazoa, Chordata, Mammalia, Primates, Hominidae.
GCUGGGCAUGGUGGUGCAUGCCUGUAGUCCCAGCUACUCUGGAGGCUGAGACAGGAGAAUCACUUGAACCCAGGAGACUGAGGUUGCAGUGAACUGAGAUCAUACCACUGCACUCCAGCCUGGGUAACAGAGUGAGACUCCAUCUCAA